CCUACGGGAGGCAGCAGUGGGGAAUAUUGCGCAAUGGGCGAAAGCCUGACGCAGCGACGCCGCGUGAGGGAUGAAGGUCUUCGGAUCGUCAACCUCUGUCAGCAGGGAAGAACGGUCACUGUGCUAAUCAGCAGUGAAUUGACGGUACCUGCAAAGGAAGCACCGGCUAACUCCGUGCCAGCAGCGGCGGUAAUACGGAGGGUGCGAGCGUUAAUCGGAAUUACUGGGCGUAAAGCGCUCGUAGGCGGUAUGGCAAGUCAAGGGUGAAAUCCCCGCGCUCAACGUGGGAACGGCCUUUGAAACUGGCAACUUGGGUUGUGUGAGAGGAUAGGGGAAGUCCAGGUGUAGGAGUGAAAGCCGUAGAUAUCUGGAGGAACAUCAGUGGCGAAGGCGACUAUCUGGCACAUAACUGACGCUGAGGAGCGAAAGCGUGGGUAGCAAACAGGAUUAGAUACCCGUGUAGUC
RNAcentral lists this ribosomal RNA (465 nucleotides) under uncultured bacterium. RNAcentral's name for it is "partial 16S ribosomal RNA". It matches the Rfam family "Bacterial small subunit ribosomal RNA", at positions 338 to 795 of the family's 1533-position model. The record is from RNAcentral.